RNAcentral lists this ribosomal RNA (468 nucleotides) under uncultured bacterium. RNAcentral describes it as "partial 16S ribosomal RNA". It matches the Rfam family "Bacterial small subunit ribosomal RNA", at positions 28 to 507 of the family's 1533-position model. The record is from RNAcentral.
GACGAACGCUGGCGGCGUGCUUAACACAUGCAAGUCGAACGGAAAGGCCCUGCUUUUGUGGGGUGCUCGAGUGGCGAACGGGUGAGUAACACGGGAGUAACCUGCCCUUGACUUUGGGAUAACUUCAGGAAACUGGGGCUAAUACCGGAUAGGAGCUCCUGCUGCAUGGUGGGGGUUGGAAAGUUUCGGCGGUUGGGGAUGGACUCGCGGCUUAUCAGCUUGUUGGUGGGGUAGUGGCUUACCAAGGCUUUGACGGGUAGCCGGCCUGAGAGGGUGACCGGCCACAUUGGGACUGCGAUACGGCCCAGACUCCUACGGGAGGCAGCAGUGGGGAAUAUUGCACAAUGGGCGGAAGCCUGAUGCAGCAACGCCGCGUGCGGGAUGACGGCCUUCGGGUUGUAAACCGCUUUCGCCUGUGACGAAGCGUGAGUGACGGUAAUGGGUAAAGAAGCACCGGCUAACUACGUG